RNAcentral lists this ribosomal RNA (918 nucleotides) under Xanthoparmelia sp. Its description in RNAcentral is "partial large subunit ribosomal RNA". It matches the Rfam family "Eukaryotic large subunit ribosomal RNA", at positions 102 to 1038 of the family's 3401-position model. Lineage: Eukaryota; Fungi; Ascomycota; Lecanoromycetes; Lecanorales; Parmeliaceae. The record is from RNAcentral.
CAACAGCUCAAAUUUGAAAUCUGGCCCCCUCGGGGUCCGAAUUGUAAUUUGUAGAGAGUGCUUCGGGCGAGGCCGCGGUCUAAGUCCAUUGGAACAUGGUGUCAUAGAGGGUGAGAAUCCCGUAUGCGACCGUGGCUCGAGCCCAUGUGAAGCCUCUUCGACGAGUCGAGUUGUUUGGGAAUGCAGCUCAAAAUGGGUGGUAAAUUUCAUCUAAAGCUAAAUACUGGCUGGAGACCGAUAGCGCACAAGUAGAGUGAUCGAAAGAUGAAAAGCACUUUGGAAAGAGAGUCAAACAGUACGUGAAAUUGUUGAAAGGGAAGCGCUUGCAACCAGACCUGCCCGUAGGCGAUCAGCCGCUGUUCUCAGCGGUGCACUCGCUCUGCGAAUCAGGCCAGCAUCGGUUUCGGCGGUCGGAUAAAGGCCUUGGGAAUGUAGCUCUCCUCCGGGGAGUCUUAUAGCCCUCGGUGCAAUGCGGCCAGCCGGGACCGAGGACCGCGCUUCGGCUAGGAUGCUGGCGUAAUGGUUGUAAGCGACCCGUCUUGAAACACGGACCAAGGAGUCUAACAUCUAUGCGAGUGUUUGGGUGUCAAACCCAUGCGCGGAAUGAAAGUGAACGGAGGUGAGAACCCUUAAGGGCGCAUCAUCGACCGAUCCAGAUGUCUUCGGAUGGAUUUGAGUAUGAGCAUAGCUGUUGGGACCCGAAAGAUGGUGAACUAUGCCUGAAUAGGGUGAAGCCAGAGAAACUCUGGUGGAGGCUCGCAGCGGUUCUGACGUGCAAAUCGAUCGUCAAAUUUGGGUAUAGGGGCGAAAGACUAAUCGAACUAUCUAGUAGCUGGUUCCUGCCGAAGUUUCCCUCAGGAUAGCAGUAACGUUUUCAGUUUUAUGAGGUAAAGCGAAUGCUUAGAGGCCUUGGGGUUG